RNAcentral lists this long non-coding RNA (1272 nucleotides) under Numida meleagris (helmeted guineafowl). RNAcentral's name for it is "lncRNA (ENSNMEG00000005854.1)". Lineage: Eukaryota; Metazoa; Chordata; Aves; Galliformes; Numididae. The record is from RNAcentral.
CUGCAGCUUGGUUUGGCAGCACGUUUCCCCACUGUGCUGCAGUGGCUUUGGAAUGGCAAGGAAAUCUCUCCAUGCGCUCCAUGUCCUUGCACAGCCAACCAGCACGCGCUCCCACCAUCCCUGCUAAAGGUAUUGCUGAAAAUUGGCCAAACAUGGAUGUUUGCAGUUCAGGCGGUCCCCUCUUGCUGCUGAAUUAUCCUUGCACAAUAAGGAUCUGCAGUUCAACGCUCAUUGAGAGUGAGUGAGACCAUCCCCCAACUGCUGAGUGGACUGAAGCCCUUCAUCACACCGCCGUGAUCCAGCUCUGCGCUGAAGAUCUUUUCUGCACUGGGAGCAGGGGCACCUUCACCCGCCUUCCUCAGAGGAGAGUUUUUUAUAAACACUGAUGCGUAACGACAUUGAGAAGGAGGGUGAGUUUUGUUGGUUUGAUUUAAACUUCUUCAAUCCUUUACGUUCACAAAAAAUGCGUUAGCGUAAACAAAACCGACUUCCCUGUAGAACCUGCAUUUCACUAUUGGCACGAGAUAAGUGUGAUAAGCAGAUCAAAUGUACCUUUAUUUCAUCAUGUUAGUGCAGUAAUAUCACGUGACAGAUGAGAUAGUCUUUAUUCACUUCCUCGUACUUUGGACAAAGUUGACAAAUGCUGAAAAUGCGUUGAGGAAGAUAAAAUGAUAUUUCAUGCUACUGUUUGAUUUUUGUCUUGCAUUCCUGCAUUGAAACCCACUUGUUCCAAGCUGCAUUAUGUAACCUUGAGGAGGAAAGCUGGAUUUGAGCACGCCGCAAUUAAGCCCGUAUUGUAAAUAACUGCAGGAGAGCUUGUGGGAGCACCCGAGUGCUGGACGCUUCUUCAAAACACAGAUGGAUUUUCCAUUCAUGGUUUACACUUUGCUGCAGGGUGAGUCCAUAACACCUGAGUUUUCCUUUGAGAUGUCGUCCUUGGCCAGCCAGUGCUGGUGGAGGAGCUGCAGAAGGCACAUGCUAGUGAGGACAGCGUGGAAACCCACUCAGCCCUCAGCUCCCAUACAGAUAGGCUUUGAGCAGCUGGGCCAGCCUGGUCUGAUGGGCCGUCAGGAUGAGCAGGAAUUUCCAGAGCAUCCUGUUGCACAGAGCUGGUGGGGUGAUGAUGGCACAGACUGGGCUCCAAGCUCUGCUCUUCUCCUUGGGCAGCUCUCCGUCCUGUACUGCUGCGUUGAGUGUCACACCCAAGGAAAGAGCCACCUGGUACAGCAGCAGGGGAAGAGCUACAAUAUAGUUGGAAUGAAACUGGGAUGA